UACGUAGGGGGCAAGCGUUGUCCGGAUUUACUGGGCGUAAAGGGUGCGUAGGCGGAUAUUUAAGUCAGAUGUGAAAUACCCGAGCUUAACUUGGGUGCUGCAUUUGAAACUGGGUGUCUAGAGUGCAGGAGAGGUAAGUGGAAUUCCUAGUGUAGCGGUGAAAUGCGUAGAGAUUAGGAAGAACACCAGUGGCGAAGGCGACUUACUGGACUGUAACUGACGCUGAGGCGUGAAAGCGUGGGGAGCAAACAGG
RNAcentral lists this ribosomal RNA (253 nucleotides) under uncultured bacterium. RNAcentral describes it as "partial 16S ribosomal RNA". It matches the Rfam family "Bacterial small subunit ribosomal RNA", at positions 524 to 776 of the family's 1533-position model. The record is from RNAcentral.